GCCUGGCUGGCUCAUUGGGUAGAGCAUAUGACUCUUGAUCUUGGGGUCAUGAAUUCGAGUCUCACGCUGGGGG
Molecule: transfer RNA, 73 nt
Filed under: Ailuropoda melanoleuca (giant panda)
Lineage: Eukaryota; Metazoa; Chordata; Mammalia; Carnivora; Ursidae
Rfam family: tRNA
About the family: Transfer RNA (tRNA) molecules are approximately 80 nucleotides in length. Their secondary structure includes four short double-helical elements and three loops (D, anti-codon, and T loops).
Source: Rfam by way of RNAcentral